This 99-nucleotide transfer RNA is filed under the name Christiangramia forsetii KT0803. RNAcentral's name for it is "tRNA-Und (NNN) (tRNA-Und-NNN-1-1)". Lineage: Bacteria; Pseudomonadati; Bacteroidota; Flavobacteriia; Flavobacteriales; Flavobacteriaceae. The record is from RNAcentral.
GGAGAGGUGCCGAAAUUGGUAGCCGGGCGAUAUAGUCGUAGUGGAUUAAGUUAUCAGGCCAGUAACUCCACUUUGCAGGUUCAAGUCCUGCCCUCUCUA